ACCGCUGCUUGAAGCAGAAGCUGAAGUCAGAGGAAUACCAAAGGCAAGGGCCACUUUGCAAUGACAAAGAGAUUCAAGUGGCAACUCUCCCUCUCUUGCUGACCCUGGCUGGGCCAUGUGCCAGGAAAACACUCCUAGAUCCUCACAAUGACAACUGAGCCUGAAUAGAUGUUGAAAGCUUUCACUUAUCCUAUCAUUCUGGAUUGCAAGCUUCUGCUCUGAGUAUGGAUGGAAAGGACAGAAUGUUUUCCCAUUUGUUAAGUGAUAAGACUGGAAAUCAUACGUCACUUCAUCUCCUAAUGAGACCAGCCCCUAAGGUACCUGCUGAGGACAAACUCCUUUUCAUAAAGGACUGAAAAUUUCUUAAAGGGCAGCGGCUAAAGAAUGAUGUCUUCACAUCACAAGUGAGAAGCUUCAGCGAAAUCGUAAGAACAUGGAGUCAGUCAAAAAACAUUUUAAGAAGCUUCUGGAUCAGAUUUUUGGUUACAAGAACUAAACAGUUCCAAUUAUAUUUUCUCAUGCUGUGGAAAGGACUACCAAUGCGCAAUCCUCUCUCCUUGAGAUUUUCAACUUGGAGUUCCUGGAGUUACUUAUGAACUCUAGCUCAUAAUUGGUUUUGCCCUGCCUCAAUUUCAAAGCUGCUAUUGGGUUGGAAAAGACUGUUGUUGGAAAGGACUGUUGUCCAGGCUCCAAAAAGUCCAGACAAGGUCUCCAGAGACUCUCUAUUUUUCCUCCAGAUCCUUUUACUGACAUUAAUGAUGAAGCAGCUUUGUCUGUGUCUCUGCCUUGGUUAGCAAUGCCUUAGUGACAGGGCAGCUCCAGAUGCAUUAGAUCAGCAGCUGAUGCCAUCAUGCGAAUGUCUAACACUUACUUUAGCAGUAGAAGACUUUCUUCAUUUAAAAUCUUACAGGAAAUCCCUGUGUUCAAAAGGAAAAAAAAAAUCAGUAGGGGAUCUGGAGCCCAGCCAGCACUGUCCUCUUUCUCCCAAGAGGGGAAAACUGAUCCAAACCAAGGUCCGAACUGGAUGGACUCCUCGAGAAUCAGAACUUCAAUACCAGUGACGUAAUCGGAACCCAGGUCCCUGGCCCCCCAGUUCCGGGCUCUUUCUACUAUUCGACGCUGCCUCCUGCAAAACGUGUCCUAUUUUGAGGCACCCUUGUUUAUCACAGAUUUGUUGUACUCCCCUUUUUUUGCAGUCUUUGAAAUUUCUUUUCUCGUGUUCUCUCACUUAUUUCCCAAACGCCAUUUGUUAUGUAACAGAUGCAUAUGUGUUCCUGUUUAUAAAUAUUCUACAGUAAGUCAAGAAAAUGUGGGGAAAUAGGGGGAAAAGGCUAAUAGGACCUUCAAACCCUCUAUCUGGAAAUGUCGGGAAUCUAGGCUGUGUCUAAGGGGCAAAGGUCACAAAAGAAGAACAAACCCAGGAAGCUGAACCUGGUCUUGUAUGUUUGGAUCCCAUCUCAUUCGUUUUUCCCUUCAUUUUCAGUCUGUCCAAAAUUAGGAUGUUUGGUGUUAUGGAGGUUCACCUGGGAAAAAUCAGGAGGCCGCCGAGUGUAACUGUGGGAUGGCAUCACAGUAAGCAAGAAGCUUAAAAUCAAAUCCAUUACCAGGGAAUUGAAUCCAGGGAACAUGGCUUCAUUAAAGACUAUGACUUUAUAAAUAACUACACAUAAAUAGACCGCUUUGCCUUAGAGAAUAAUAUAUUUCAAAAUUAUUAUCUACUUAAAAUAUUUUACCUAAAAGAAUUCACAAUUAGCUUUCAAUAUUUAAACAGUACAUUAGAAAUGGAAUGAUUAUAAAUAUCAGAAACAAAAGCCACUUCAUUACAGUAUGAACAUAUGCUAACAUACCACAUACUGCUUUUGAAUUUAAUAAUAAUAUAGUUUAUCUUUUUUUAACUGACAUAAGGGUUUUGAUAAUAGCUAAUAUAAAUAUAUGAAAUGUCAAAUUUAGAAGAUAGUGUUUAAACAUUUGUCUCUUAGAGAGUAUUGUUAAACUUAACUUUUAUUAACUCUGAGAAUCAAAGAGAAAUAUGGUGAUGCUAGUGAACGUUUGAAAAUCUUUUAUUUUAUCACUUUUAAUGCAUGUUUAAUAUUUAACAUUCAUCUUAUUACAGUCAGGAAUUGUGAAAUGCUUGUGCUGUUUCUAAACAGUUUUAAAGUUCAAUGCACAGUCACAAUUCAGAGGGGAGAUUUCACACAUUUAUGGAAAAUAAGCCAUUUUUGCAGUAAAGUUGCAAAGUGUGAAAGAA
This is a long non-coding RNA of Pan troglodytes (chimpanzee), 2248 nucleotides long. RefSeq lists it as uncharacterized. NCBI's taxonomy places the organism in Eukaryota, Metazoa, Chordata, Mammalia, Primates, Hominidae. The record is from RefSeq and is a predicted model, not a curated record. The transcript is spliced from 7 exons.